This is a long non-coding RNA of Aethalodelphis obliquidens (Pacific white-sided dolphin), 1880 nucleotides long. RefSeq lists it as uncharacterized. The record is from RefSeq and is a predicted model, not a curated record. The transcript is spliced from 3 exons. NCBI's taxonomy places the organism in Eukaryota, Metazoa, Chordata, Mammalia, Artiodactyla, Delphinidae.
UGGUGGAGAAGUUCCUGGCACCUGCACCUGCGCCGGGGUCCUCUCACCCGCACUCCGGUCCUGUUGCGCCCAGGACGGCGAUGGUGCCGAGGACAAGGACCGGAGGACGACCGUCUCUGCGCGUCCCGCUGCAGCAUUUGUGUCCCAGACUCCGGAGGCAACAUUUUCCGCGACUGGAAAACCGAAAUCGACUUCCUGCUCGUGAGGGAGGACAAGCUGCGACCCCCGCGGCGGGCGUGGUGACAGCGACUCCUGCAAGCGGAGCUGGCGCGAUAAGUUCCAGAGGAACCUGAGCGCGCCGGGCUGCUCCUGGAGGAGGUGGCAGAGAUCCUGGCCUGAACAAUCUAUGGGAAAGAGAAACGUGCAGAGAUGGUCAUGGCCCGUCUGCUGACCGAGGGAGUCUACACUGCAGCCUUCCCACUGCGUGAGGUAGAGAUGACACAAACCCAGCUUUCUUCCACUGCAGGGGCAUCAGGAGAAAAUUCUGGGACUUCCCUGCAGCCCUCCUGCCUUUCCUCUCCCUAGGGCCCCUGUGAUCUGCCCGGGUACCAGGUGCCUGGUGCAGACCUCAACCCUCCACAAUUGUUGUAUUCAUACUGGGCCUGCUGGGGCUGCUGGCAAAAGUACCAGCCCCUGCACCACAUACAGGAGGACUUUGGGGACAAGGAAGCUAUCUGCUUUGGUUGGUGCAUCUGGUGUUGGGGGUGAGGGCUGGGAGCUGGGGGUGAGUACAGAGAUGCAGGCUCAUGAGCAUUCCGUCCCCCCACAUUCUGUCACCUACACAGCCUGGGUGCUGCUCUUGUGGGUACCCUGGUCUUUACCUCUGGCCUAGUUACCAUGGGCACAAAUGUACCAGCGUGAUGACUGGGAGUGCUGGGGGGAUGAGCUGCAUGGGCUGGGUCAGCUGGCUGGUUGAGGAUAGACCCUCCCAGGAUGGGGUACCCCUUGCUCAUAGGGAGGAGAUCUGUGCGAGCAGGAGUUCCUUCCUCGUGUGCUCACUCUGUGAUACUUGUGCCACAUGGAAUAUUUCCGAGAUCUGCCCCGUGGCCAAGGUGAGCCAGGGAAGAGAGCAAGGGAAUGGGUAGGUGUUUGGGACCCAGCACCUUGGGCCUAGCUGCUGGGAAGGCAGUGUGCCCUCUGCAGUGCGCCCUCUCUCCCUCCUCUGCAGAUGGGCUAUCUCUUUGACCAUCUGGGAACUGUGUUCUUUAGCAUCCUCAUGUGCUUCUGGGCCACAGCCUUCCUGGAGCACUGGAAGCACAAGAGUACCACCUUGGCCCACCACUGGGACUGCAGUGACUUCCAGGAAGAGGAAGUGACGCCCAGCUCAGCCCUCCAGGCCCAGAACUCUGCUUCCUGCAGUUCUCAGAGGCCAUAAGGCAUGCUGGGAACAGCUCGGACUCUGGAGUCCAGCAUCCCGGGAUCCAGAUCUGACUCUUCCCUACAAUUUUCCUGGGUCACUUUCCCACCCUCCCCUGACAUCAGGAUGAUAUAAGGUUUGGUGAAGUUAAAUACUAGAGGCAUUUAGAGGCUCAAAGAGAAACUCUUCCUGAAACAGGGAAGAAGGAGAGAAGCGUUCCACUCACCUACCCAUCUAGCCAUCCACCUGUCCAUCCAAACAUCUAAUCAUUGAUCCUGAAUCUGUUUGCUUUUCUCCGUCUCCACUGCCACCCUCACUUUCCCCACCCCCUAGCCCCAGUCCAAACCACAAUUCUCUCUUACCUGAACCCCUGCAGUAGCCUCCCAAUAUAUCUCUCUGCUCUUAUGUUUGCCCCCAUUCAAUCCAUUCCCAGCUGCCAGGGCAAUCUUUUUUUUUUUUUUUUUUCUGUACGCGGGCCUCUCACUGCUGUGGCCUCUCCCGCUGUGGAGCACAGGCUCCGGAU